UACAGAGGUCUCAAGCGUUGUUCGGAUUCAUUGGGCGUAAAGGGCGCGUAGGCUGCGGGGCAAGUCGGGUGUGAAAUCUCAGAGCUCAACUCUGAAACUGCACUCGAUACUGCUUUGCUUGAGGACUGGAGAGGAGAUUGGAAUUCACGGUGUAGCAGUGAAAUGCGUAGAUAUCGUGAGGAAGACCAGUGGCGAAGGCGGAUCUCUGGACAGUUCCUGACGCUGAGGCGCGAAGGCCAGGGGAGCGAACGGG
Molecule: ribosomal RNA, 253 nt
Filed under: uncultured bacterium
Lineage: Bacteria
Description: partial 16S ribosomal RNA
Rfam family: Bacterial small subunit ribosomal RNA
Source: RNAcentral